This 492-nucleotide ribosomal RNA is filed under the name uncultured bacterium. RNAcentral's name for it is "partial 16S ribosomal RNA". It matches the Rfam family "Bacterial small subunit ribosomal RNA", at positions 29 to 507 of the family's 1533-position model. The record is from RNAcentral.
AGUGAACGCUGGCGGUAGGCCUAACACAUGCAAGUCGAACGGCAGCACAGUAAGAGCUUGCUCUUACGGGUGGCGAGUGGCGGACGGGUGAGGAAUACAUCGGAAUCUACUUUUUCGUGGGGGAUAACGUAGGGAAACUUACGCUAAUACCGCAUACGACCUACGGGUGAAAGCAGGGGAUCUUCGGACCUUGCGCGAUCGAAUGAGCCGAUGUCGGAUUAGCUAGUUGGCGGGGUAAAGGCCCACCAAGGCGACGACCCGUAGCUGGUCUGAGAGGAUGAUCAGCCACACUGGAACUGAGACACGGUCCAGACUCCUACGGGAGGCAGCAGUGGGGAAUAUUGGACAAUGGGCGCAAGCCUGAUCCAGCCAUACCGCGUGGGUGAAGAAGGCCUUCGGGUUGUAAAGCCCUUUUGUUGGGAAAGAAAAGCAGCAGGUUAAUACCCCGCUGUUCUGACGGUACCCAAAGAAUAAGCACCGGCUAACUUCGUG